UACGGAGGGUGCAAGCGUUAUCCGGAUUUAUUGGGUUUAAAGGGUCCGUGGGCGGGCCUGUAAGUCAGUGGUGAAAUCUCAUAGCUUAACUAUGAAACUGCCAUUGAUACUGCAGGUCUUGAGUAAAUUUGAAGUGGCUGGAAUAAGUAGUGUAGCGGUGAAAUGCAUAGAUACUACUUAGAACACCAAUUGCGAAGGCAGGUCGCUAAGAUUUAACUGACGCUGAUGGACGAAAGCGUGGGUAGCGAAC
RNAcentral lists this ribosomal RNA (250 nucleotides) under uncultured bacterium. RNAcentral's name for it is "partial 16S ribosomal RNA". It matches the Rfam family "Bacterial small subunit ribosomal RNA", at positions 524 to 773 of the family's 1533-position model. The record is from RNAcentral. RNAcentral also lists the same sequence under 1 other name.